AUAAAUAAUUUCUUUAAGUUUUUUGGCAUGCUUCUGAUACGAAGUCGGUUUGUUCAACCAAAUCACUUAACUACCUGAUUGUGCAUAACAUGGACAUGUGUCCCAAUAAAACACGACAACAACAGACACAUCCUCAAACUCCCAUGUAUCAUUCAAAACCUAAAUUUAAUGCAACCUUUCAAGUCCUAUUUGGACUUCCCCUUCACCUCCAAGUUUUCAUUAUGCUCCUCCAAAUUUUUUCAGUCAUGUUAAAAGUACUUUUUUAUAAGGGUUUUUUUUUUUUUUUCUUUCUUAUAAUUUUACCUUCAUCCACUUAUACCUAUUCAUUUUUUAUUCCCACGUCUGUGUAAUCCUAACAUUGCUCCUCCCUCCCAGUUUGCUCUCCAUCCCUACACCAUGCUCUUGCAGAUUUUGUCUAGUUCUUUUGCAGAUUUCAUCACACCAAUCUUAGUUCAUUCUUGCACCGGUCAUUCAUCCAUUCCAGGCCUGUAUUUGUUUAGAUAUGUUUUCUACAUUUCAUUUAAAAUGACUAGUAUAAUGUAAAUGAAAGUAUAAAUGAGAUAUCUAUGUGGAUUUGGAGAAU
RNAcentral lists this long non-coding RNA (583 nucleotides) under Vigna radiata. RNAcentral's name for it is "long non-coding RNA (VRAD_LNC004470)". The record is from RNAcentral. Lineage: Eukaryota; Viridiplantae; Streptophyta; Magnoliopsida; Fabales; Fabaceae.